CACCUUCUUUGAAUUCACCCAAUGUGGAUUGGACCAUGCCCAAGGAUUUUCAUGGGCAGCACACUGGGUGAGUUAACUCUUGAGUAUAUCCCUGUCUUAUAGUACUCUGGAAGUCAAAUCUUACAAUAACCUUCUUCUCAACACCCUGAGAAGAGGUAAGGGCAUGUUAUUGUAACAUAUUUAAGAAAAAGCUAUCCAUAUGACUCUAAUAUAGUCAAGGUUAUUAUAGUCAAAGAGAGUUUGACAUUCUAUUUUAUGCUGGUUUGUUAUAUACAAUAAUCAUAUAGAUUUGACUUUCAUUCACACCAAUUCAAUAAAAGUGUGGGUAUACAUAUAUAAGUGUAUACAUAUACGUGUGUGUGUGUGUGUGUGUGUGUGUGUAUUUUUUGCUUUAAAUACAUAUAUUUAAAGUUGUUGGAUGUGAAAAUUGGUGGGGAUAAUACCUGAUUUCAGGUUAAAAAACUCAGAAGUACAGUUGACUCUUGAACAAUGUGGGAAUUAAGGCCCCCUCCCCCUUGCAUAGUAAAAAAUCCAUGUAAUGUUUGACUACCCUGCCAAACUUGACUACUAAUACCCUACUGUUAACUGAUAACAUUAACACAUACUUUGUAAAUGUAUUAUAUGCUACAUUUUUAUAAUAAAGUAAGCUAGAAAAAAGAACAUGUUAAAAUCAUAAGGAAAAUACAUAUACAGUACUGUAUCAAGAAACAUUUGCAUAUAAGUGGACGUGUGCAGUUCAGACCCGUGAAUUUCAAGAAUCCCCUUUAGUUGAUUUUAGAUUGCAAUUCAUGGUUUAACUGCAUUUUCUGCUACCUCAAUAUUCCAAAAACCAAAUUCUGACAAACUUUUACCACUGUGACAUUCAGAUCUCUCCUCUGCUGAUGAGAUCAACAGUGGCCAGCAAAGAAAUCUAAAAUCUCUUGUAUUUAUUAUAGUCAUCUUUCAGAUGAUGAAUGUUUGCCUGCAUGCUAAUAUUAAACUUAAGUCCUCUGUCCACUUACACAAUUUUCCAGCUUUCUUUCUUCAUUUAACUUUAUUAAAGAAUAUACAGCUUUUCUUCUCUCUUUAAUUUUUAUAGUGCCAUUUAAAAAUUAUUUUUACUUUUCAUACACAAUUAGAAACACUGGCACUUUUUAGAAAAAAUGAAAUAAAAAAACUUAAAAUUAUAGUUCAACAGAAAAACAACAUUCAUUAGAAGAACUGAGUCUGCUGGAAGGGUGGUAGGAAACUUGGAAAUAAACUUUCACCUUGUCUUUUGACAAGAUGGAAAAAACAGGUCUGAUUGGGUAGGUGGUUACUUGUUUGGACCCCUUACCUAACUAUAGGUAAAAGCAGGAUGGGAACUUUGAACUUGAGCCCAUUUUUUUUCACUCCUUAGUGACAAAAAAGUGUAAUUAACAUAUUUUGGGGUUCUCAUUUUUUGUAUUAAUAAUAGCAGUUUAUCAGCAUUUAAAGAUACAUUCUUUCCCAUUGACAAAAUAAAUUCACAGAAGGAAAAAUAGCUUUAUUUUUAAAGAAAUUAAAUAUCUAUUUGCAUACGUGAGACAGUAUCUUUCAUUUAGCCCUAAGCUGAUUCUGUGUUUGUUACCAUAUUCCAAUAAGAUUUUUGGAAAUCAAUUUCAAAUACAUUACCAUAUACUUAUUAGUAGAUAUCAAACAGAGCUACUGACAUUAAGGAAAAAAUUUCAGUAACUGUUUACCCACCCUGAGAUACUCAUUCUUGUAAUACAUUUGGGAUUAUUUGAGCAUUUAAAAAUUUAAUGAAAUAUUUAUCUUUUCAUUGCAUGCAUCAAUAUGUUAAGUUCUCUGCUACAAUCCAGGUAAAAUAAUGAUAGCGACCAUUGUGUUUU
Molecule: long non-coding RNA, 1850 nt
Organism: Lutra lutra (Eurasian river otter)
Lineage: Eukaryota; Metazoa; Chordata; Mammalia; Carnivora; Mustelidae
Exons: 3
Source: RefSeq, a predicted model, not a curated record